This 378-nucleotide unclassified non-coding RNA is filed under the name uncultured Gammaproteobacteria bacterium. RNAcentral describes it as "contains 16S-23S intergenic spacer region". Lineage: Bacteria; Pseudomonadati; Pseudomonadota; Gammaproteobacteria. The record is from RNAcentral.
UCCGGUUUGUCACCGGCAGUCUCAUUAGAGUGCCCAACUCAAUGUAGCAACUAAUGACAAGGGUUGCGCUCGUUGCGGGACUUAACCCAACAUCUCACGACACGAGCUGACGACAGCCAUGCAGCACCUGUGUUCCGAUUCCCUUUCGGGCACAACCUGAUCUCUCAAGCCUUUCGGACAUGUCAAGGGUAGGUAAGGUUUUUCGCGUUGCACCGAAUUAAUCCACAUAAUCCACCGCUUGUGCGGGUCCCCGUCAAUUCCUUUGAGUUUUAACCUUGCGGCCGUACUCCCCAGGCGGUCGACUUCACGCGUUAGCUUCGUUACUGAGAGUGUCAAUCCGACCAACACCUAGUUCACAACGUUUAGGGCGUGGACUAC